This 497-nucleotide ribosomal RNA is filed under the name uncultured bacterium. Its description in RNAcentral is "partial 16S ribosomal RNA". It matches the Rfam family "Bacterial small subunit ribosomal RNA", at positions 28 to 523 of the family's 1533-position model. The record is from RNAcentral.
GAUGAACGCUGGCGGCGUGCUUAACACAUGCAAGUCGAACGAAGCAUUUAGAACAGAUUAUUUCGGUAUGAAGUUUUUUAUGACUGAGUGGCGGACGGGUGAGUAACGCGUGGGUAACCUGCCUUGUACUGGGGGAUAGCAGCUGGAAACGGCUGGUAAUACCGCAUAAGCGCACAAUGUUGCACGACAUGGUGUGAAAAACUCCGGUGGUAUAAGAUGGACCCGCGUCUGAUUAGCUAGUUGGUGAGAUAACAGCCCACCAAGGCGACGAUCAGUAGCCGACCUGAGAGGGUGACCGGCCACAUUGGGACUGAGACACGGCCCAGACUCCUACGGGAGGCAGCCGUGGGGAAUAUUGCACAAUGGAGGAAACUCUGAUGCAGCGACGCCGCGUGAGUGAAGAAGUAAUUCGUUAUGUAAAGCUCUAUCAGCAGGGAAGAUAGUGACGGUACCUGACUAAGAAGCUCCGGCUAAAUACGUGCCAGCAGCCGCCGUAA